Molecule: non-coding RNA, 165 nt
Filed under: Candidatus Firestoneibacteriota
Lineage: Bacteria
Description: Candidatus Firestonebacteria c-di-GMP sequence
Rfam family: c-di-GMP-I riboswitch aptamer
About the family: GEMM was predicted in a large-scale screen for bacterial structured RNA regulatory elements. Genes associated with GEMM are involved in a diverse array of functions, including chemotaxis regulation, signal transduction, secretion and chitin.
Source: RNAcentral
AAACCGAAAGGGUAAACCCAUCGUAAGGUGGGGGCGCAAAACCAAAGGUCCGGCACAUGCUUUAAGAGAAUGCUGAAAGUAAGGCUAACGAGAUUGGGUAGAAAAGUUCACACUUAUAGCAGAAAAACUUAAGUAAAUCAUGUGACGGAUAGCCGGGUUGCCGAC